AUGGCCAUCCACCACGGCGUGCAGCUGAUGGCACUGGCCUCUCUGGUGCUCGUCGCCGCGGUGGCUCCAGCCACGACGCACCUCCGCUUCUACAUGCACGACAUCGUGACGGCGGAGGCGCCGAGCGCGGCCACGGCGGUGCGCGUCGUCAGGGGCCUGACGCCGCUGCCCAACGACCCCACCAACCGCUUCGGCGACAUGUACACCAUCGACGACGCUCUCACGGAGGGGCCCGGCGCGGCGUCGCCGGUCAUCGGGAGGGCGCAAGGGUUCUACCUCUUCGCGUCGCAGACGGACGCCGCGCUGCUGCUCAGCGCCAACAUGCUGUUCACGGCGGGGAAGCACAACGGCAGCACCGUCGCCGUGUUCGCCAGGGACGCCAUCCUCGACACCGUCAGGGAGCUGCCGGUCGUCGGCGGCACCGGCGCCUUCCGCGGAGCUGCUGGAUACGGCCUGCUUCGGACGAAUACGUACAACGCCACCACCAGCAACGCCGUGCUCCAGAUCGACAUGUACCUGCACGUGUAG
RNAcentral lists this ribosomal RNA (528 nucleotides) under Triticum aestivum (bread wheat). Its description in RNAcentral is "partial small subunit ribosomal RNA". Lineage: Eukaryota; Viridiplantae; Streptophyta; Magnoliopsida; Poales; Poaceae. The record is from RNAcentral.